GCGGCGUGCUUAACACAUGCAAGUCGAACGGUGAACACGGAGCUUGCUCUGUGGGAUCAGUGGCGAACGGGUGAGUAACACGUGAGCAACCUGCCCCUGACUCUGGGAUAAGCGCUGGAAACGGCGUCUAAUACUGGAUAUGUGACGUGACCGCAUGGUCUGCGUCUGGAAAGAAUUUCGGUUGGGGAUGGGCUCGCGGCCUAUCAGCUUGUUGGUGAGGUAAUGGCUCACCAAGGCGUCGACGGGUAGCCGGCCUGAGAGGGUGACCGGCCACACUGGGACUGAGACACGGCCCAGACUCCUACGGGAGGCAGCAGUGGGGAAUAUUGCACAAUGGGCGCAAGCCUGAUGCAGCAACGCCGCGUGAGGGACGACGGCCUUCGGGUUGUAAACCUCUUUUAGCAGGGAAGAAGCGAAAGUGACGGUACCUGCAGAAAAAGCGCCGGCUAACUACGUGCCAGCAGCCGCGGUAAUACGUAGGGCGCAAGCGUUAUCCGGAAUUAUUGGGCGUAAAGAGCUCGUAGGCGGUUUGUCGCGUCUGCUGUGAAAUCCGGAGGCUCAACCUCCGGCCUGCAGUGGGUACGGGCAGACUAGAGUGCGGUAGGGGAGAUUGGAAUUCCUGGUGUAGCGGUGGAAUGCGCAGAUAUCAGGAGGAACACCGAUGGCGAAGGCAGAUCUCUGGGCCGUAACUGACGCUGAGGAGCGAAAGGGUGGGGAGCAAACAGGCUUAGAUACCCUGGUAGUCCACCCCGUAAACGUUGGGAACUAGUUGUGGGGUCCAUUCCACGGAUUCCGUGACGCAGCUAACGCAUUAAGUUCCCCGCCUGGGGAGUACGGCCGCAAGGCUAAAACUCAAAGGAAUUGACGGGGACCCGCACAAGCGGCGGAGCAUGCGGAUUAAUUCGAUGCAACGCGAAGAACCUUACCAAGGCUUGACAUAUACGAGAACGGGCCAGAAAUGGUCAACUCUU
Molecule: ribosomal RNA, 971 nt
Filed under: Microbacterium maritypicum
Lineage: Bacteria; Bacillati; Actinomycetota; Actinomycetes; Micrococcales; Microbacteriaceae
Description: bacterial SSU rRNA
Rfam family: Bacterial small subunit ribosomal RNA
Source: RNAcentral